Tetranychus urticae (two-spotted spider mite) is the source of this 1548-nucleotide long non-coding RNA. RefSeq lists it as uncharacterized. Lineage: Eukaryota; Metazoa; Arthropoda; Arachnida; Trombidiformes; Tetranychidae. The record is from RefSeq and is a predicted model, not a curated record.
GUAGCAAUUAUUGCCCCUCAUUUUUUUAAUUGUCUUUUAAUGUGAUUUGAGUAAUGUGAUUUUUUUAAAUGUUAAAUAAAUCGUUAAAUAAUUGUUUCUACUGAACCACAGAUUUGCUUCCAUGAAGAUUAAUGGAAUCUCGUAAGUUUAUAGUGAAAUAUUAGUCUAAAAGUGUAUUGUAAAGAUGUGGUACUGUUGUUUGACCCUUUCUAUGGCUAUCAGUAACUAUUAAUACUGCAAUGAAAAUCAGUGUAUCAUGUUUCAUUUUGGAAUGAAAUUCGACAUCAAUUAUCUUCAUUACAAGUACAUUGUGAUAAUAUACAUAUGGAAUUCUUAGAUUUCUUGGAAAAAGGUGAAUGAAUGAAUGGCAAGAAGAAAGUCAUAAACUGCUCUAGCUAUUAUCAGCUUCAGGUCCGCCAAUAACUCGGAGCCUCAUGACUCGUCUGAAGUUCUCUACCAGAUGAACCAUCUUGGAAAAUGUUUUGAAAAAUUGAUCAGCCAAAUCGCUUAAAUCCUUGGAGGCCAAGUAAUGGAUAACUUCACCUAUUCAAAAAGGAAAAACAAAACCAAUGAAUUAUCAUCUGUGAAAAUCUCCAUGUGAUGUUCAAAUAUUACGAAAGAUUAAUAGAUGAGUUUGUAUUGCAGAAAUAAUAAGCUUGGUUACCUUGAUCGGAUGUCAAAUAUCGUAAGAGUGAAGAAAGAUUAAAUACCAGUUGGCUAUGGAAAUUAACCCAAAGAUUAAUGACGGAAAGAUGAACCUUGGAUUUGAUAUUCUUACUACCUAAAGAAUCAACAAGAAUAGAACAAGGACAAUAUUCUGACUCGAAAGGUCCAAUUUCUAUCCCUAGUCUUUCUUACCCAAAGCGUAUAAUUUUCUGCGAUUAUCGACGUCACACAAAAUAAGCUUGAUAAUCCAAUAUGAUGAUAUAAAAUAACUACGAAACAAUCUUGGCAGAGUCUUAACAUCAUUACUUGGGAAAUAAUUUAAUCUUAUUAUCAAUUUGUUAUCAAAUCUAUCAAUGAUGAUCUUGACUUUUGACUAAUUGUUUUGGCUAAAGUAACACCAAGGACGAAUUCGAGUAAUCUUGACAUCUAAACUUUUACUGCUAUACUCACGUUGCAUUACAAUGUAUCAACCUAGGAAUAGCGAUUUUCCUUGGUACAACAUUGGUAGCAUUAUUCAUCACUUUCACGAAAUGAUAUCGAAUCAAAUUAGAUCUAGAAGAAUAAGUCAGAUAUACCCAAUAGUCGGAUCACAGGAACUUGGACAUUCCCUAAACUAUUUUGAGCAGCUUUGAUAACUUCUUUCCGGGUACCUUCAUUGCUCCAGAAAUACUUGACGAUUUGGUAGUGGCAAUCAAGUCUUCCUCUUACCUCGACCAUUGCUGUUUUAAUCAGUCCAUACACAUGAGAGGAAACUUUGUCGAGACAAGCAAAAAAUCUUUCGAUUUCUUGAAGAUUGGACUCAACUUCAAUGAUAAUUCUGUCCAUGGCGAGAAGUACUUUUGAAAAGGUUUCAGUUGUAAUCCAAGAUGAUUUACUACUAAA